UCGGUGUUCGUCUCAACAAAACCUAACAUGUCGGUGCGAAAUUCUGCUAGGUAUGCUUCUCCCUCCCAUCAACUCCUUCUGAUUAUUCAUAUAGAUACAUUUUUCUCAUUUUACUGAUGCCCUUUUGUUGCCAUGUUUUUGGGUGUUCCUUCCUACAGCCAGCUUGACCAUUUGCUUUGGAAGGAGUAAUUCAACUCAGAAAGGACAAAUGAUUGGCGACUAUUUUUUCCCUACAAUCUCUUUAGGUCGAUUAUUCUUUUUUUCCUGUCAUGUUUUCUUUGCUUUGGCAGUGUAUUUGGUUAUUUCCUUCUCUGGAGCUUGGGCAUAUUGGUUGUCUUGUUGGCUCUUUUACUAGCAGUCUUUCCUUUUCAGUAUAUGGAAGAGAUUACUAGCUCACACAUGUAGUUUAGUUAUUAUGCUUCUAAAUAAGUUCUGCCUGAGAGUACAUAUUUUGUAUCCAUUGCUUAUUUAAUCCAUUGAGAUUUAUUCUCUCCGGUUCAUACAGUAUGUUUGCAUUUAACUUGGAAAUUGCAUGCUUACUUCAAAAUUGGAAUGUGACUUUUGCUUGCUGAUAGAUUCAGUUAUGGUGUGGUUGCCUGCUACUCAAAAUUAGUUAUAUCGCAUCAUAAAUUUCAAGAACCGCAUCACAACAGAUCAAUGGCAUUGUAGGUUCAGUGGACAUGUAUGCUGAAUAUCCCCUCACUAGACAAGAUUGGAUUUUAAUCUAUACAAGCCAUCCUCUCAGCUGCUCAGGUAGUUCUUCUUCCUCAUUAUCAAUGAAUAAUUAAGUUGGUUACAAAAUAUGCUUGAAGAUUGCAACACAGAGAUUGCCUGGCAGACUAAAAUAAUUAGGAGCUUCUUAUUGGACCCUUCAAGCAAUAGUGUAGUUAAUAUGUUAAUUAUUAGAUUAUGUUACUAGAGUAUUAGAAGAAUUUUUUGAUAUAUGUAUUUAUAGGAUUCUGUGAUAUUUGAUGCAAAAAAAAUGAUGGCCAGGCACUAUACUGCGCAUAAGUAAAAUUUCCAGUUUUUUCUUUUUGUGGUCAGUACCAGAACCUAUAAAGAAUGUUAGCUUCUGAUUGGACCCUUGCUGAUUCAUUUACUAGAACCCAGAACCCAGGUUGUUACAACUCCACUUUGUAGUUUUGUUCCCCGGUAGAAAGUCGCUUAGCUGACGUUACAGCAUGAGGUCUGUUGAACUUUCCCUGUCAUGCCUUUGGUACCUACACGUUGUUGCAUUUGUCCGACAGUGUCGUGUCUCUCUAGACACAGGUGAAUGCACUGGACUUUAUGAGAUCGAGGCCACCAACGGCAUAUGCCAAGGGCGUCCAUUGAUUACCUGCCCAAGGUCUGGAUUCACCGAGGAGGUACAACCGGACACUUGGUCGGCUGCCUGCUGGUCUGGAAACUACACAAUAUCUCUGAAACCCACUAUCCUCUAAUGCAUGAAUCUCUAUGCUCAGUUGGGCUACAACUAAUUUAUCAUCGUUUCAUCUUAUUCUAUAAUGCAAACAUCAUGUUUUUUCAUCGAGAGAAAGAACAUUAAGAAAAAAUUAUCAUUCUAUUGUAGCAAUAGCGAUUGUACAAAUAGCGGUACUGUGUUUGGUCGGUUGUUCUUGUGGCUUCCUGGCCAUGGGCACUUUACUACUUUGUUCCAAAAAAACCUGGUAUGUUUAUUCUGCUGGUACAGCUACUCUUUGGCUGGGACAUUUUGGCUUGGAAUAACAUAAAUGAACCUAAAAUUUCUUAUUAUUUUAUACCACCUUUUGUAUUUAUGUCCUUGUGCACACCAUCUGGAUGCUUUGAAAGUAUUUACCCAGCUUUCUUUUGAUUUGAGUUGUCUUUAUGUCAAGGACUAUUACAUAGAAUUAAGAAAGGCCAUAGUUAACCAGAAUAACAACUGCGGCAUUUCCUUGCAGAAAAUCUAUAAUGUUAUUUGCAGUGGUGAUGAUAGCGGGUCUUCCGAAUCGCUUCCUCAGCCUAACAACGCAGCCUACAAACCAACUUUUAUCAACAUCAGUAAUGAUGCUGGUAAGCACACCACGACAGAUUUACUUUUUAAAACCUACUGCUUAUACUCACCUUUUAAACCUCUUACUGUUUAUAACUCUGUAGGCCCUUCGCACCGUCGCCUGAAAGCCAAGAAAAAGAAAAGAAAAAGGAGCACACAUUGCAUGGUACAAAACCGUCUACCAUUACCGUUGUCAUGCUAUUAUGCCUAAUUUUAUUUGCCUGCCUAUUCAUACUAAUCUUUCAAGCCCUCUUCAUGAUUAUCAUCAUACAACACCUACAACUAAAUCCAUAAAACCUAAGAAGGCUGAACACAAGGAUUACAUAACCCGUACGAUCAAACAAUGUUUUCAUUUGCUCUACUAAUACCAGUACAUGCAUAUGCUUACACCAACCAUUUUAUAUACCAUUGAAUAGGGGCACCAGGCACUAUCUACUUUCUAAGUUUUGAUAGUCAUUGCAGAUGGGGAAACAAAUGAGGCUAUUGUAACACCCCGGAUGUAACUUUCCAUAUUUGUAACUCCAACUCUUGCCAUUUUCGAUAUGUGUUAUGAUAUUCCCUCCGUGGUUGGGUUUUGUCUUUCGUUUUGCAUUUUGUUCAUGUCAUGCAUCUCAUAUCAUGUCAUCAUGUGCAUCUCAUUUGCAUACGUGUUCGUCUCAUGCAUCCGAGCAUUUUCCCCGUUGUCCGUUUUGCAAUCCGGCACUCCCACAUGCACCGGCGCCCCCCUCUUGUUUCUUUUCGUGAGCGGGUGUUAAACAUUCUCGGAAUGGACCGAGGUUUGCCAAGUGGCCUUGGUAUACCACCGGUAGACCACCUGUCAAGUUUCGUUUCAUUUGGAGGUCGUUUGAUGCUCCAACGGUUAACCGGGUAACCACAAAGUCCUUUUCUAUGUUGCAGAAAAAAACCCUCCAAACAGCCCAAACCCCAUCUAAGUCCCCUCCAUGCUCUCGGUCGUUCGAUCACGAUCGUGUGGGCGAAAACCGCACUCCAUUUGGAGCCUCCUAGCUCCCUCUACCUAUAAAAACACCCUCUCCGAAAUUUCGGAUCAAACCCUAGAUCAAAUCGUCCUCCGCGCCGCCGGACGCGUCCACUCCGCGCCGGACGAACCCGCCGCCGCGCCCGCGCCAACCACAGCCUGCCNNNNNNNNNNNNNNNNNNNNNNNNNNNNNNNNNNNNNNNNNNNNNNNNNNNNNNNNNNNNNNNNNNNNNNNNNNNNNNNNNNNNNNNNNNNNNNNNNNNNNNNNNNNNNNNNNNNNNNNNNNNNNNNNNNNNNNNNNNNNNNNNNNNNNNNNNNNNNNNNNNNNNNNNNNNNNNNNNNNNNNNNNNNNNNNNNNNNNNNNNNNNNNNNNNNNNNNNNNNNNNNNNNNNNNNNNNNNNNNNNNCGCGGCCCCGACGUCCGCCGCCGCCUCCACCGCGCGCCCGGCGUGCCCCCUCGCCGGAUCCCGCCGUUCCCCGCUCUGGUGUCCUCUCCGGCCGCGUCUCCCUCUCCCUCCUCCGGCCGCCGCGUCCCUCUUCUCCGGCGAGCUCGAGCCCGCGCCGAUCCAGAUCUGGAGCCCGAGGGUUGACUUCUUCCUCCCCUCAAUUUUCUCCAAGUUCCGUAAUUUUUGCAACAUGUAGCCAUGUUCAUUGCAUCAUAACUCUCUGCAUAGAUCCGUUUCGUGCGUGUAAUAUAUCGAAAUGUUCGCCUCGAGAUGCUCUUCAUUUUGUUCUAUUAUGUGAUGCUCAUUUUAGUCCAUCUUGGUGCCCAAAUCUCUGGUGCAAGAGUGCUAUAUGCUGUUACCUGCUGUUACUUAUCAGAACUUGAGGAAUUGUUAUUUUUGUUGCUUUUGAUGUGUGCAUCUUAUGGGCAUGAGCUCUACAUGUGUUUUGAUGUAUGCCAUGCCAUCUUUACAGCGGUGUAUGCCAUGUAUUUUUAUGAUCUCUGUGGUCACUAGCACAAGCAUGCAAACUAGGCUUCAUGAUGUUUCUGUUUUCAGGGACUUAGUAAUUUCACCAAGUCUGUUACUACUGUUAUUUUGUUGCCAUGUAUCCAUGUGUCUACAAAGAGAUCCAUGCUUCUUUUGGGCAUGUUCAGUAAAGAUGUUUUGUAGAUAUGGUUGUGCUCUAUCCAUCCAUGCCCCUGUUUGCAAUUAUGGAGUGCCUAGCGUGACUCAAUCUUGUUCUACUUUUGCUAUAAAAUAUUCCUGGCAGAUUGUUAACAUGAUAUUCAAUUUUGCCAAGCUUGUUAUAGUUGAUGCAUACAUGCUAUGUAUUUGCUCUUGCCAUGGAUAACUUCAUUAACAUGCCAUCUUUCUGUAGGUAUACUUGUUUUUUCAUGCAUUGCUUUGUGGUGAGUGAAUCAAGCUCAUAAAUAUGCCUUUAUAAUACUCUGCCAAGUCUGAAACCUGUUAACGAAACUUGCUAUGUUUACAUGGGUGCCAUCAUAUCUUCUGAUCCUUUUGGGCUCAUGGUCAGUAAGGGACUUUUGUUCUAUGCAUUUAGUAGAUUAAUGCCAGGCCUUGUUUUGCUAUGUUAAGUUCCUGUAGCAUAUUGUUUGCUUGCUCUGAACAUUGCUACCUGAUGCUGUUUAUGCCAUGUCCAGUAAUUUCACCAAGUCUGUGAUCCUGAUAUCUUUUGCACUUUUGCCAUGCUUGUUGAAACCUAUUAUGUUGUGAUCUAGCCGUAGCUCAGUGUUCAUAUUUUGUCAAGAAUCUCCUGUAGAUUACUGACAUAUGUUUUGUUGCUACGUUGGGGUUCCGUAGCAUAGUUACUUAUUGCAUUCUAAGUGCUAUCAUGCUGUUAAUCGCAUAAUCAUGUCAUUCUUGUUUUGCUUGCCAUUUGCAAACCGUGCAUCCGUUUCCGGUGAUCUUUAUAUCGAUUUCGACCGAAAUCAUCUCAUCUUUCCAGUGGCAUACUUGGUUUGCCAAGUUACUGCCUUGUUCAUCCUUUUUUUCGGAGCACGCAUAUGCAUCGCAUAUCAUAUCUCGCAUAUCAUGCAUGUUUUGCAUCAUGUUGCUUGUGCAUUUCCCGUGAUUGAUUGUGGUUUCUUUGCUUGUAUUCUUGCUGUGGGUAGAGCCGGGAGACGAGUUCGUGAACGAGGAACCUGUUGAGUACGCUUACGAGGAUCAAGCUUUCGACAACUCUGAGAACCUUGCAGGCAAGAUGACCAUACCCUCGAAAUCACUUCUAUCUUUGCUUUGCUAGUUGUUCGUUCUAUUGCCAUGCUGCGCUACCUACCACUUGCUAUAUCAUGCCUCCCAUGUUUCCAUGUCAAGCCUCUAACCAUCCUUUCCUAGCAAACCGUUGUUUGGCUAAGUUACCGCUUUUGCUCAGCCCUUCUUAUAGCGUUGCUAGUUACAGGUGAAGUUGAAGUUGGUUCCAUGUUGGAACAUGGAUAUUUUGGAAUAUCACAAUAUCUAUUAUUAUAUUAAUGCAUCUAUAUAUUUGGUAAAGGGUGAAAGGCUCGGCCUUAUGCCUGGUGUUUUGUUUCACUCUUGCCGCCCUAGUUUCCGUCAUACCGGUAUUAUGUUCCUUGAGUUUGCGUUCAUUACGCGGUUGGGUGAUUUAUGGGACCCCCUUGACAGUUCGCCUUGAAUAAAACUCCUCCAGCAAGGCCCAACCUUGGUUUUACCAUUUGCCACCUAAGCCUUUUCCCUUGGGUUUUCGCGAGCCCGAGGGUCAUCUUUAUUUUUUAAACCCCCCCGGGCCGGUGCUCCUUCGAGUGUUGGUCCGAACCGAGUAGACUGCGGGGCCACCUCGGGGAAACUUGAGGCCUGGUUUUACUCAUAGGAUGUCUCAUCCGUUGUGCCCUGAGAACGAGAUAUGUGCAGCUCCUAUCGGGAUUUGUCGGCACAUCGGGCGGCUUUGCUGGUCUUGUUUUACCAUUGUCGAAUGUCUUCUAAACCGGCAUUCCGAGACUGAUCGGGUCUUCCCGGGAGAAGGUUUAUCCUUCGUUGACCGUGAGAGCUUAUAAUGGGCUAAGUUGGGACACCCCUGUAGGGUAUUAUCUUUCGAAAGCCAUGCCCGCGGUUAUGGGGCAGAUGGGAAUUUGUUAAUGUCCGGUUGUAGAGAACUUGACACUUGACUUAAUUAAAAUCUAUCAACCGUGUGUGUAGCUGUGAUGGUCUCUUCUCGGCGGAGUCCGGGAAGUGAACACGGUUUGAGUUAUGCAUGAACGUAAGUAGUUUCAGGAUCACUUCUUGAUCAUUUCUAGCUUCGCGACCGUUGCGUUGCUUCUCUUCUCGCUCUCAUUUGCGUAUGUUAGCCACCAUAUAUGCUUAGUGCCUGCUGCAGCUCCACCUCAUUACACCAUUCUUUCCUAUAAGCUUAAAUAGUCUUGAUCUCGCGUGUGUGAGAUUGCUGAGUCCUCGUGACUCACAGAUUCUACCAAAACAGUUGCAGGUGCCGACAAUGCCAGUGCAGAUGACGCAACCGAGCUCAAGUGGGAGUUCGACGAGGAACGUGGUCGUUACUAUGUUUCUUUUCCUGAUGAUCAGUAGUGGAGCCCAGUGGGGACGAUCGGGGAUCUAGCAUUUGGGGUUAUCUUAUUUUCAUUUGGAUUUGACCGUGGUCGGUCUAUGUGUCGAUUUUGGAUGAUGUAUGAAUUAUAUUUAUGUAUUGUGUGAAGUGGCGAUUGUAAGCCAACUCUCGUUAUCCCAUUCUUGGUCAUUACAUGGGAUUGUGUGAAGAUAACCCUUCUUGCGACAAUACCACAAUGCGGUUAUGCCUCUAAGUCGUGCCUCGACACGUGGGAGAUAUAGCCGCAUCGUGGGCAUUACAAGUUGGUAAUCAGAGCCAUCCCCGACUUAGGAGCCCCCUACUUGAUCGAAUCGCUGACGUUGUUGAGUCUAGAACAAAAAUGUUUUGAGUCUUAGGAUUAUAUAUAUCGGAGAGUAGGAUUCUUUUUACUCCUCAGUCCCUUUGUCGCUCUGGUGAGGUCUCCUGACGUAGAAUUUUUGACUUUUCUCUCCUCAAAUUUCACUAAAAAAAAAUUUAGGAUCACGCGGGUAUCUUGGAAUCGUUCCGAUGGUUUUGUGACGAGAACAUUGUUCUUGGUGCCUCCUGACAUUUAGGGGUUGUGGAAGUGUCCCGGGGAGUUGAGCUCCGAGGUGUUGUCGUCACAAUUUUAUCGUUGCAGUUCUGGAAUACCUGAGUUUCGCCGACAUCGAAAUCUCUUUUAUGCAGUUGUUGGUGAGAUCACCUCGACGCCACCCAGUACUGGGGCAGGAGUUCGGGAGUAUUGCCAUAACUCGUAUAACGCAUGCUGUUGAGGAUAUAACCAUUAGAGUCACCCGCCCAGGAGGGGCCGGGUUACGUCAUAAUGGUUGUCACGCGAAGCCCAGUACCAAGCUUGAAGACGGCGGGUCGAUAAUGGGCUUAAGACCCGGAGAUGGCUUAAGGCCCGUAGUGAUAAACUGUCGUAUGGCAAGACUUGUAGUGUAAGGCAAGAAUAGCUAAGAGUCCGAGCCGGACACUGUUAUGAGCUGGCCGGGACUCUGAGAGCCGCUGGGCGUCAACCUCUCUAUAUAAAGGGACAACCCGGCGGCGGUUUGGGGACAAGAAAGACAAGAUCGAUAACCAGGCAGGACGGUAUAGCUCCUGGUGGUCGAAACCCUAAGCAAUACAAUCUCAAACUGGACGUAGGCUUUUACCUUCACCGUAAGGGGCCGAACUAGUAUAACCCUCGUGUUCCUUGUCCCGCUUAACCCCUUUAAGCUUCCUAGCUGCGAUGGCUCCACGACUAAGUCCUAGCACGAGGACAUCUGACGUGACAAUUCCACGACAGUUGGCGCCCACCGUGGGGUUGGCGCACGGUGGAUUUGAGUUCUUGAAGGGCAGCUUCGAAGGGCUCAAGGGAUACGCUGUGGGCCGGAUGACCAAGAGUUUUCGUGGCAAGCUCUACAUCGACGAUGCAAACUGGGGCCCCGACGCCGGCUCAAUUGAGUACGGGUACCGGGUCCCCUUCGGCGGAAUUCAUGUAUUCAUUGGCAAGAUUGGCGAGUCGGGCCCUGAGCCGGAUCUCUGCGCCGAUCUCAUCGAGACGGCUCAGCAUGCACGACCUGCCCGGGCUUUACCUGCCUUGAAGCAUGCCUUCGUGGGAUGUAUCCACGGAGGACUCUCUGGAGGAUCUGGACCUGGUGAUGAGACGGCCGCCGGCUCUGACGGCGAGUCGUCUACAGAUGAGUCAAAUUCGUUGUAUCAACUUCAAGACGGCAGGCUCAGAGGUUGUUCUGAUGGAUACAGCAUUCCGGAUCCCUUUGAGCCGCCGAGCCGGGUUGGAAUCUUCAUGGCCAGCGCGCAACCUGUUCAAAACCCCGCCGCCGGGUCAGGAAGCCCGGCGCCUUCGCCGGCUCAGGUGCUGGACAAGAUGACGGUCCUGUUGACCGCUACGGUUGCCCCGGCGGAUCAAGUUCAGCAUGACGCAGAGGUGGCACAGUUAAAGUUGGAUCUAGCAAAGGCCAAGGAGGAUCUGGCGGCGGAGGGGAUCAGGAUGGCUGCAGAGAGGGCGGCUCUCGACGCCCAAACUCAGCUGAUUCAGGCAUAAUCCUUCCGGCUCACGAUGGAUCAAAACGCGUCCAAUGAGGUCAUGAGAAGGAGGCAUCAAAAGGCCCAAUCUCGACUCCCUCCGGUUUACGAUCCUCGAAACCUCUUCAACACGCCAGGUGCAGGGUCUAGUAACCCGCCAGAGAUCAUAGUGCCCGGGGCUGGGACGCCAAUUCCGCCCCAAGUGAUGGGACCUCCCCGGAUGAACCCUGCCCCACCUCAGUACGUACCAAUACCACCGGGUCAUUAUGCCAACCCGUUGGAAAACAUGGUCGCCGCGGCGGCGCGGCUGGCGGCUCUCCCAAUUGAUGGUGACUCUCCAACGGCGGUUGAAACCCGCCGGGUCAGAGAACUCCUUCAGACGGCUCUGGCGCAGCAAGAGGCGUAUUCUUAUAGCCGGGACAGGAUUCAUUCAACCCCUCGUCCAGGCCAGAGCCCGAGUUAUAGCAGACACAUGGUCUCAGCGACCGGCUCAAGUAAUGUCCGACGCCAUGACUUGCCUCCUGGCCACGGCCCGGCUCAUAACGGAGCCUUUCACGCAGCAGACCAAGACAGGGCACGGCAAGAGGCGGAGCAGGUGCCUCAGUUGACAGCUUACCAGCCACCCCCGGCUUAUCCGACGGCUUCCAUCGACGUGGGUAUCCCUACGAGGACUGGAGGUGUCCCUUGUCUAGUGCCGGCUCUCCGCAAUGAACGUCUACCCAAGGACUUCAAAGGGCCUAGGAAGGUGCCUAAUUACACGGCUGAUUUACAACCCGGAGCCUGGAUCGAGAGUUACCAGAUGGCCAUGGAAUUUCUGGAGGUCAGCGAAGCGGCGAUGGCCAAGUACUUCACCAUGAUGUUAGAUGGGACUGCCCGCACUUGGUUGAAAGGGCUGCCACCGAAUUCUAUCGGGUCUUGGGCUGAGCUGAAAGCCCGGUUCAUCCAAAACUUCAAGGAUACCUGUAGGCAGUCUAUGUCAAUUGUGGAUUUGACUAACUGUAAACAGCAGGAGGGUGAGUCUACAACACAUUGGGUUCGCCGGGUCAAAGAGAUAAUACAUUCAUCUGAUAAGAUGGAUGCCGGCUCUGCAGUCUUAAUGUUGGAGCAGAAUUGUCGUUUCCUGCCCCUGAAGAUGAAACUCGGGCGGCUCAAGCGCGACUGCAAUGAUAUGGGUACGCUGAUGGCCGCUCUCGUCAAGUACGCCGACUCUGAUAGUACCAAGGACCCCGCGUCAGAUGAUGAAAGGACAGGGAAGGGAAAGAAGAACGGCAAUGGCAAGGGCCCUCAGCCUAACCCGGCGAACCAAGGAGGCAGCAAGCGUAAGGCUGAUGGCAGCAUAGAGUUUGUGGCCAAUGCCAGCUCACAGGGUAACAACCAGUGACGUAAGGGGAGGCCACCUCCCCGAGCCGGCGGUUCAGGCCCAACGCUUGAGCAGCUGUUGAAUGAGCCUUGUCCAAGGCAUGGCUCUAGGGAGAAGCCAGCUACUCAUCUAUGGAAAUAUUGCGCAAUCAUGAAGGCCUUUAAGAAUUCCAAUGCCUUUAAUGGCAACAAUGUCUCGGGCGGCGGCUCAGGCGCUGGCGGCUUUCAUGGCUCGGGCGGCGGCUCAAGUUUCAAUCCUCAGAAUGUUCAAGGGGGCUUUAAUCAGCAGUCCGGCCAGGGUCAUCAACAGCAGCAGGGGGGAUACCAGACCAAUCCAAAGCAGCUCAAUGGUGGACAGUAUCAUGUGUUUACCACCAGUCUGUGUAAACGAGAUCAGAAGCUUCAUAAGAGGGCCGUGAAUGCUGUUGAGCCGGCGGUUCCACGCUAUCUGAGAUGGUCUGAGUAGCCUGUUGUGUGGAGUAGGGAGGAUCACCCUCCCCGGGUGGAUAAUCCGGGUCACCUGGCCCUGGUGGUGGCUCCUCAGGUGGGAGGAUAUAAGUUCACUAAGGUGCUCAUGGAUGGAGGCAGGAGCAUCAACAUCCUCUAUUAUGAGACCUUCCGUCGUAUGGGGUUGAUUGAUAAGAACCUCAGCCAGUCCAAUACUGUUUUCCAUGGUGUGGUGCCUGGUAAGUCGGCUUAUCCAGUUGGUAAGAUCGAGCUGGAGGUGGCCUUUGGAGAUGAGUACAACUACAGGGCGGAAAAAUUGACCUUUGAGGUGGUCAAGAUAAGAAGUCCGUAUCAUACCAUAUUUGGGCGGCCGGCUUAUGCCAAAUUCAUGGCACGGUCGUGUUACGUAUACUUACAGCUCAAGAUGCCGGGUCACAAUGGGACCAUUACGGUUCAUGGCAGCCGAAAGAUAGCCUUGGAGUGUGAGGAAGGUGAUGCGGCUUAUGCGGAAUCUGUUUGUGCAACAGAGGAGUUGAAGUUUUACAAAGACAAUGUUGACCCAACAGAUAUGACAUCUCUGAAAAAGCCGACCACAGAGCAUGAGCCGGCAAUGAAAUUUAAGUCAGCUGAUGAGACUAAACUUGUUGAUUUCGUUCCAGGUGACUCAUCUCAGCAGUUCAGCAUCAGUGCCAAUCUGGAUCCAAAAUAGGAAAGCGUGCUCAUCGAGUUCAUCCGUGAGAACAGUGACAUUUUUGCAUGGAAACCUUCUGACAUGCCAGGUGUACCUAGAGAACUCGCUGAGCACACUCUUAAUAUUGAUCCGAAAUUUAAGCCGGUCAGGCAAUUCCUUCGGCGGUUUAAUGAGGAGAGGCGGAAAGCCAUUGGUGAGGAGGUGGCCCGGCUCUUGGCGGCCGGGUUUAUUGUCGAGGUCUUUCAUCCGGAAUGGUUAGCUAACCCGGUGCUCGUGCUCAAGAAGAAUGGCACCUGGCGGAUGUGUGUGGACUACACGGACUUAAACAAGGCAUGUCUGGCUGAUCCUUUUGCUCUCCCCCGUAUUGAUCAAAUCAUUGAUGCUACGGCGGGUUGUGAGCGCUUAAGUUUCUUGGAUGCUUAUUCUGGAUACCAUCAGAUUAAAAUGGCAGUUAAGGACCAGGAGAAGACAGCGUUCAUCACUCCCUUUGGAGCCUUCUGUUAUGUGUCUAUGCCUUUUGGACUCAAGAGUGCACAGGCGACUUACCAGCGUUGUGUGCAGAAUUGUCUUCAUAACCAGAUUGGGCGCAAUGUUCAUGCCUAUGUGGAUGACAUCAUGGUUAAGUCCGGGGAGAAGGAGACCCUGGUCGAUGACCUUAGAGAAACCUUUGAUAAUCUCCGGGUUUACAAGAUGAUGCUUAACCCGGCCAAAUGUGUUUUUGGUGUUCCUGCAGGCAAGCUCUUGGGUUUCCUGGUUUCUAACAGAGGCAUUGAAGCUAACCCAGAAAAAAUCAAGGCCAUCACCUCUCUGGCUAAGCCGGCGUGUAUAAACGACGUCCAGCGUCUAGCAGGCCGCAUCGCUGCUUUGAGUCAGUUUAUAGGCCGUUUGGGUGAAAAGGCCAUGCCACUGUACCAGUUGAUGAAGAAAACUGAUGACUUUAUCUGGAAUGAUGCUGCUAAUGCUGCUUUUGAGGAUUUGAAGAGACAGCUGGCUGAGCCCCAGUUCUUGCUGCUCCGAUUGACAAAGAGCCCUUAUUACUGUAUGUAGCUGCUAACACACGAGCCGUCAGUGUGGCUGUGGUGGAGGAGCGCAAGGAAGAGGGUAAGGAGUAUCCAGUUCAGCGGCCGGUUUAUUACGUCAGUGAAAUGCUCAUCGAGUCCAAACAACGGUAUCCACAUUGGCAGAAGCUUGUUUAUGGUGUGUUCAUGGCAAGCCGGAAGCUUAAGCAUUAUUCCCAAGGUCACCCCAUCACUGUGGUUAGUUCUACUCCCCUUGGAGAUAUCAUCCAAAACAGAGAAGCCACAGGAAGAGUGGCUAAGUGGGCUAUAGAGCUUGGGCCUCAUGGUCUGAAAUACGUACCACGCACUGCUGUUAAAUCUCAAGCUUUGGUGGAUUUCAUCAACGAUUGGACAGAGAUACAGGUGCCCGAAGAAAAGCCGGAUAAUACAUAUUGGACUAUUCACUUCGAUGGGUCUAGGCAAUUGGAGGGCUCGGGGGCUGGAGUUGUAUUGGCUUCCCCUAAAGGUGACAAGUUUCAUUAUGUGCUACGGUUGAUGUUUCCUUGUACUAACAAUGCGGCUGAGUACGAGGCCUUGCUCCAUGGUCUUCGGAUGGCUAAGGAGAUGAGCUUGAGCCGGGUAAGGUGCUUCGGCGACUUAGACUUAGUGGCUCAACAAGUAUCAGGCAAGUGGGAUUCCAAGGACCCUCUCAUGGCGGCUUAUCGCCGUGAAGUUGAUGCCAUUGCUGGACACUUUCAGGGUUACCAAGUAGAGCACAUCGAUCACAGGAAGAACGAGGCGGCUGAUGCACUAAGCCGGCUGGGCUCUCAGCGAAAGCCGGUGCCGCCUAAUACUUUCUUGGACAUCUUGCAUAACCCUUCUGUUAAGUUACCUACAGAGGAAGACUUGGCUGUCCCUGACCCGGAAGCACAGUUGGUGGCGGCUCUUCACUUCACCCCAGACUGGACAGUAUCAUAUUUGGCUUACAUGACCCGGGGAGAGUUGCCUGAGGAUGAAACUUUGGCCAGACAAAUAACCCGGCGGUCUAAGUCAAUGAUAAUUAUCAAUGGUGAGCUACAUCGCCGCAGUGUCACUGGAACUUUCCAGCGUUGUGUUUCCCCUGAGGAAGGCCAAGAUAUUUUGCGUGAGAUUCACGAGGGGGAUUGUGGCCAUCAUGCCGGCUCAAAAUCCCUUGUGGCCAAAGCUUUUCGUCAUGGUUUUUAUUGGCUGACGGCUCAUGCUGAUGCGGAAGACUUGGUCAGUAAAUGUGAUGGUUGCCAGAGGUUCUCGCGACGGGCUCAUGUGCCGGCUCAGGAGCUAAGGAUGAUUCCAAUUACUUGGCCAUUUGCGGUCUGGGGGCUUGAUAUGGUUGGGCCUUUUAAAAGGUCCAAGGAUAAGAAGACCCACCUCUUGGUGGCAGUUGACAAGUUCACAAAGUGGGUUGAGGCGGAGCCAGUUAGCAAGUGUGACGCGGCCACUGCAGUUCAGUUCAUGAAAAGGGUGAUAUUUCGCUUUGGUUUUCCACACAGCAUUAUAACUGACAAUGGUACCAAUCUGUCUAAGGGCGCCGUGGAGGAGUUUUGUCAGCGAGAGCAUAUUCGACUUGAUGUUUCGUCAGUGGCUCACCCUCAAUCCAAUGGUCAAGCUGAGAGAGCUAAUCAGGAGAUUUUGAAGGGCAUCAAGCCCCGGCUUUUGGUCCCUUUGCAACGGACGCCGGGUUGUUGGGUGGAGGAGUUACCCUCCGUGUUAUGGAGCAUCAAUACUACUCCUAAAGAUCUACGGGUUGCACGCCGUUCUUCAUGGUUUAUGGAGCGGAGGCAGUCCUCCCUAGCGACAUCCGUCAUGACUCACCUAGAGUGGCGGCUUAUGUUGUGGCGGAUAAUGAGCGGGCGCGCCAAGAUGCUCUUGACUUGUUGGACGAACAGCGUGAUGUGGCAGCAGCUCGCUCGGCGAUUUACCAACAAGACCUGCGCCGUUAUCACAGCCGCCGGGUUAAGUCCCGGGUCUUCCAGGAAGGUGAUCUGGUGCUCCGGCUCAUCCAAGAUCAAACAGAUGCACACAAGUUAUCCCCGCCUUGGGAAGGGCCCUUUGUGGUCAGCAAGAACUUGCACAACGGGUCAUACUACCUUAUCGACGUUCGGGAGCACAAAGAUUCACGCAAGUCGGAGGAAGAGACCCGUCGGCCGUGGAACAUAGCUCAGCUUUGGCCUUAUUACACUUGAGCCACCGGCUCUCACAAUGUACAUAUUUCUAUAGCCAUGUAUAUAUUAUGUUAAAUAAUAAAACAGGACCUCUGUCCUUUUCUCCUCCAAAGGUAAACAUGUUAUUUCCGUUACAACAUCACAUGGUCACUUGGAGGUGGAUCCGGCUUAUGAUCGUAUUCGAAUCUAGCCGUAAACAAUAUAAUCACCUGGGGGCUUCCUGUUCAAACAUAGGUUGUAUUCGAACCAAAAAGAACAUAGCUGUCGAUACCCACUUGAUUGGCAAAGUGCCGAGCUCAUUGGGGAGUUUUCUUUGAUCAUAUUUGAAUCAUAGCUCAACCCCCUUUGGGAACCGACGUGGAUCGUAUUCGAAUCAGCGUCGUUAAACAACUCUUAAGGUCAUUUGGGGGCUUCCUGUUCAAACAUGGGUCGUAUUCGAACCAAAGAGAACAUAGCUGUCGGUACCCUCUUGAUCGGCAUCGCCAAAGCCACUGGGGGCUAUAUGAUCGCAUUCGAAUCUUAGCUUAACCCCUUUGGGACGGUUCUCUGGUCGUAUUCGAACCGGAAGCCCCUAAGUUUUUGAUCUUCUAACUUACAACAAGUUCUUUUGGUCACAUCAAACAGUGUGCAAGGGCGGCUUUUACUUUGCUGACUUAAUUUUGAUUCACAACGUUGAUAACACAUAGUAAGUAUUCUUGAUGCUGGUAAACCGGAAGUGGGAUCUUCAUCUCAUUAUUCGGGUUACAUAAACCGGAAGUAUACUUGAAGGCUUGUAAGUAUGCUAUUAUGGUUACAUCAAAGAUAUAAUUGAGGGCCAGUCUUUGGUGACUUUUGUUCAUAUUCCGGGUUAUAUAUAUAAGGUCUAUGAUUCUCAGUGCGGUAAGCCGCCUAGAGACUUGUGACUUGUUUUCUAUGCAGGAUGGUUAAAGACAGCUAUUCGAGCUUAAGGAAAAUAACUGAUCAAUUAUAACCCGGAGGAAUAAGAAGAAGCAGCUUCAAUGGAGUUAAGCAUUCAACACGUGCACGCUGGCACGACAAAAUUAAGUGUUUGUCCUACUCUAUUACAAGACUCCCCGAGUCCAAAAGGUGAGGCAUUGUUUUAAGGUGCAACCAUGAGCCGCCUAAAAAUCAAGGUGCUUGUGGAGUUGAAGCUUCCGGCUCAUCCCUCUCCGCUCCUCCGGCUGAUUCCAUGACCUGGAAGGUUGAUGAUUUCCAGUCAAUACCGCUCAAGGCUUCAAAUUGAGCCUCGUCAUCAAUUAACCCGGCCGGGUCAACUUCUGGGGCGAAGGUGUGCUUACGCGUCGGAGGGAUCAAGCUGAUGGCUUCAUAACAUGGAGUGGGGAUCCUCUGAUUUUCCGCGUCAUAGCCCGGCUGAUACUUGGUAAGGUCGGUGUCAUUCCCAAUCAGGGUGGCCACCGGGCGCACGCUCUUCACACAGGCAGCAAAGUCUUUUUGGUCAAAGGGGGUGUCGUCUUCCUUCAGACUGGGGUAUCCAAGAGCGAUGUCGGCCGGGUCUAGCUCCGGAAGGAAAGCCUUGGCCCGGCUCAGAGCAGCUAUAGCUCCGGCUCUUGCAGAGGCCCGUCUUAGCUCUUGGAAGCGCUGAGGAAGGACGGCCAGCCGCCUGAGUACAUCCGCCAGGUGAGUCGGAACCUCGUUGGACAGAGCCACAAUGGCUAACGCACGCUGUGACCCGGUAUAGAGUUGCUCCACCAAGGUGUACACGGCCUUCAGCUUGGUCAGAACAUUCUGGUUAAGGUUGGAGCUUCUGGGACCUGUUUAAACAAAGUCAGGUAAGCCGGAGACAGUAGGGGGCUUAUGAGACAUAAAGAAUGAAAACUUGGUAAAAGCUUGCAGAAUGACUUACCGAAGAUUGCGGAGACCAUCUGUGACACAUGGCGCUUUAAGCCGGAGAGUUCGGCGGUUCUCUCAGUUAGAGCAGCCUCUGCUUUUUUGGCCCGGCUCAGCAAGGCGGUUCUCUCCUCGGCCCAAGUUUUUCUUUCUGUUUCAAAUUUCUUCUUCAGUUUUUCCUGUGCAGCAACACUGAACUCAAAUUUAGCAUUGGCCUUCCGGGUCUCGGUUUCCUGAGUCUUCAGGCGGUUCUUCAGCUCAGAGAUUUCAGAUUCAAAUGUCUUGCAGGCAGCCUGUACAAAUUCCGGGUUAUAGUAUGAGUGACUAUUAUGCAACAUUAAAGUCCCAAGCACUUUACAAGCAAAGGCACUUGGCACUUGGGGGCUAAUGUAUGUUGAAAGAUUCAAUUGGAGAUUGCCGGGUCAUGAAGGUAAGCCGGAAGCUAAGUCUACAACGUACUCAAUCAUAAGUAAUAGACUUGGGGGCUAGCAUGGUAAGGUUGGCUAUGGAGUAAGCAAGAGAGUUGUACCUCAGAUUUUUGUUGUAUCUGCUUUACCAUGUCAAUCUCCAGGUCCCGGCUGUUGUGCACCUGAUUAACAUAGCCGGAGACGAUAUCUCCAAUGCUCAAGUUAGCAUAGUUGGUGAUAUCCAGCUUGGCCCUGCGGCGCUCUAGCAACUCUUCCUUGGCAGAGCAUUUAGCCAGCGCAGUGGGUCUCCCCGGCUCGACAAAUUCCGUCCGGGUGAUUACAACGUCCGGGUCAUCGGCCGGCUGAGCUGGGCUGGGGAUCUCCGGGUUAGUUGAAGCCUCUAUGACUGGCUCGUCAGUUGGAGCGGUGGCUUCAGGAGCUGAGGCAGAUGGCGGUUCUUGAGCUGAAGCUUCCGGUUCAGUUAGGACCGGCUCUUCGACCGGUUUAUUCUUCUUCGCCCUCUUGCUAAGCUUUGCUUGAGCACUGAAAGGACAAGAGGUUAGUACAAAAGCAUGAGUAAAGAUAAGCACAACAUAAGACGAUCAUCAUUACCCGGGUGCGGUCUUGAAAGCCGGCAGGUUAGAUAUCAUAGAAUCACCAGAGGAAGGUGAAGUUUCCUGAUAAUUUGAAUCAGAAGAAUUGAACGGUUGACGAGUAACGCCCGCCAAAGGAUGAAAAGGAUAUAAGUUGGAGAUAACCUCGGUCCGGCGCUUCCUUGAUGCUUCAGGUAAGCCGGAGGAGAGGUCUGCAUCCUUGUUGGUCCGGGUGUGCCGCCGGCUCUCAUGAAUCUGUCGCUUCAAAAGAAAUUGAGGAUCUUGAUAAGCUAAAUGAUGUGAAAAUCUUACUUUCCGGGUUACUCUUCGGACUUUCAGCCUUGGCAAGGGCUCCGAGUCGGAGGAAAGUGUAGUUACCUCUUCAGUCACUGGGUUACUCGCUCCGGUGUCCUCCUGCUGAUAAUCAGUAUCGAUAAGGCGGAUAGGAAUAAAUAAGAAACAAAAGAAGAGCCUAAAGAAUCAAGGGUUACCUCUGACUCGGAGCUAUCACUUAGCUGAAGCAGCUCUGAGGCAGUAGGCCUGCUUCCCUUCUUGCGGGGAGCGGCUCUCCUAGUGGCUUUCUUAGCCUUCCUGGCUUUUUUAGCCGCCUCAUGGUCAUAUUUGACCUUCCAGAACUUGUCAUUAGCCUGAAAAAUACAACAAAGAUUUCUUAAAGUUCAGAUGAAAACUAUUAAAAGUAAAACCAAGGUGUUCAGGUCAGUGGCUUACCACCGGAGCCGGGUUAGCUUUGCAGAAGGGGUCUAAGCCGGUCCUCCCACAGUCGGCUAAGCUCUCAUUCAGGAGAGACUUGGUCAUGUCGUCCACGACGUCCUCGGGAAUCGUUGGGGCUGUGCCGCAGAGGGUCAUCCUUCCGGCCCGUGUAAUCACACAUUAAGCCGGGGCGACGGCUCAAGGGGAUCACCCGCCAAGAGAUCCAUACCCGGACCAGAUCAAUGCCGUUGAGGCCAUUUCCCAGGAGAGCCUUGAUCUUAUUGAUGGUGGGGAUCAGAGGUUGAUGCUCAGCUUGAGAUAGUUUGUCUGGCAGGGGGUGAUUUGGCUCCAGACGCAGGGCACGAAAGCCGGGCAGAGGGCUCUCGUUAGUCGGAGAAGUAUCCUGGCAAUAGAACCAUGUCUGGUUCCAGUCCUUUGGAUGGCUUGGCGGCUCAGCGUAAGGAAAGAGGCAAUCUCUCCGUCGUUGAAUGGAGAUUCCACCAAGUUCCAAGCUCGGCCCGUUGGCGCACUCGUUCUGGCGGUUCAGAUAAACAGCUCCCUAAAGAGCAGUAGGCUGGGCUCUUCUCCAAGAUAGACUUCACAGAAUACUUGAAAAUUGCAAAUAUUCGACACGGAAUUGGGUCCUAUGUCUUGCGGCCGCAGAUCAAAGAAGUUCAGAACCUCUCUAAAGAAUUUUGAGUCGGGCGGUGCGAAGCCCCGGCUCAUGUGAUCAACAAAUAUCACCACCUCGCCAUCUCUAGGUUGAGGUCUUUCCUCUGACGAGUCAGGAGCACGAUAAGACAUGACCUCCUUCUUGGGCAGGUAACCCGUCUUCACGAAAUCGGCUAAAGUGUCAUCAGUAACAUUGGAUCUCAUCCAGUUGCACGUGAUGGGUGCCUUGGGAGCCUUGGGUGGCAUUGUGAAAGAUGAAGCCUAUGACAAAAGGGAAAUGUCCGGUUCAAUUAUAAGCCGGAAGAAAUUUAUAGUUCAACACUCAAAAUGGCGGCUUAUGAAGGGGCCUAAUGACAUAUGGCUAAUUGCGUCGGGUUAUCUAAGCCGCUGUGGGUGUCGUGAGUAAUUCAAGUUGUCUACAGUUUGAUCAUAAAUGAGCCGGAAAUUUUAUAGCGAGUGGCCUCUUUUAAGCCAGAGAUAUGAGCCGCCAUAGCUAAACAGAUGCAAUUUUUGACUAAGUGUGGCGCAAACAAGUUUCACAGAUUGCAGUAAUUAUUUUGGAUCAAACGGUCGGCUAAAAAGAAAAUUUCUAGACCUAGAAAGCUGAUACUAAGAAGUUCAUGGAUUCAGAACGAGAUCUUAUUGCAGACAAAGGGGAUCUACUAGCAUAAAAAUGGAUGCGCAACAACUAUCGCAGGAGCUCCGUACUACUUUUGGAUCAAACAUGACUGUAGUGGAAGAACUACAAGGAACUCGAGAAGAACAGCGGAACCCUAAAUGCGGAUCUACGGUGGAGAGGUGCAGGGACUUACCGGUGCUGAGGAGUUGCGGAGGUCGCCGCCGUUUCUCUGGACAGGUCAGGGUGAUGCAGCGGCCGAGGUUGACGAAGGCCAGGAGAGCGGCGGCGGCGGAGCUCGAGCGGCAGUACAGUAGCGAGAGGAGGAAGACGAUGGAGGCGACAGGUGAAGGAAGGCUCAUGGGCCGGGCUUAUUUAUAAGGUGCGGCUAGUAAGUGGGCGCGAGAAACGAGGAGACCACGGCGUGAUUAUCUCACCGCAGAAGCGCCUCGAUUUCCGGGAUGGCCAUUAAAGAUAAGAUCCGUUGGAGUAUAACAGAAUAAAAAUGGACUUAAUGGAAGAUGACGUCAUGGCGGGUUACCAGGAAUCCAGAAGAUGACGUCACGGCGGGUUAUAACCUUCGCAGACCAUAAGCCGGAAGAUUUUUUUCUCUCAAAGGAAUUGAAGAUUGACAUGAACCAGUUCAAAUCAAUCUGGGGCCUAAUGUUGAGGAUAUAACCAUUAGAGUCACCCGCCCAGGAGGGGCCGGGUUACGUCAUAAUGGUCAUCACGCGAAGCCCAGUACCAAGCUUGAAGAUGGCGGGUCAAUAAUGGGCUUAAGACCCGGAGAUGGCUUAAGGCCCGUAGUGAUAAACCGCCAUAUGGCAAGACUUGUAGUGUAAGGCAAGAAUAGCUAAGAGUCCGAGCCGGACACUGUUAUGAGCCGGCCGGGACUCUGAGAGCCGCUGGGCGUCAACCUCUCUAUAUAAAGGGACGACCCGACGGCGGUUUGGGGACAAGAAAGACAAGAUCGAUAACCAGGCAGGACGGUUUAGCUCCUGGUGGUCGAAACCCUAAGCAAUACAAUCUCAAACUGCACGUAGGCUUUUACCUUCACCGUAAGGGGCCGAACCAGUAUAACCCUCGUGUUCCUUGUCCUGCUUAACCCCUUUAAGCUUCCUAGCUGCGAUGGCUCCACGACUAAGUCCUAGCACGAGGACAUCUGACGUGACAAUUCCACGACAGAUGCUUUUCGAAGGUUGAGGUACACGAUUUCCGAAGGUUUCUUGGUUAUGUGUUGACGGAUGGAUACAGCUGGAUCUAGGGAUUGUUAGUUUGGGUGAUAUAUUUUAUGUCCCCUGUAUCCCCUACACCAGAUUGCAUAACCAGAAAGUUUUGGGAGUUUAUAGGUGGGAUUCAAGUAGCUCUUAGGAUAUCUUUCCGACAGAUGCAUGAUGUGAGAUUGGGGUUCGACGUCUAGUGGUCCGCCUUUCCACGGUUGGUUUUACAGUGGUCUCGUAGUGUCUUAAAGAGUCCUUGGCUAUGCCGACUCGGGGACGCUUCGUAUGUCAUGUGCACUGCCUUGUACAUGAUGGUGCUGUACGACCGAGCCCGUGUGGGCCCCACCACGAAAACUUCGGACGAAAUCUCUAUCAUAUGUUUGUUCCGGCUUAUUCUGCAAGCCAAUCCUUUGUUUUGUUUUGUUUUGUGGUAUUCGAGUUGCUUCAAUGCCAAGUGUUGAUUCUAUACCUUAUUCUAAGCGGUGUUCUCAUAUUUCUAUGUGGUUGCUAAUCCUUUCGAUCAUCGAGGUUGUCAUAUUAAUUUUUUUUUCAACCGGCGUGCUUCUCUUCAAGUGCAUCCAGUCAUCCCAACAUUCACAAGAUCAAUUCUAAGUUUUCUCAACGAUAUCCAUUCCAUCUGCCCAAGUUGCCUUGUUUUCCCGCCCUCCCACCCUUUUUCUUCAAGGACUCAGAUUUCUUAAUCAAGUAUCCAUAUUAUAGAUGGGAAGUCUCUCCAUUCUUUUCCGUCAAUGUUCUUAUCCGGUGAUUUCCCAUGAAGAUACUAACGGAGCUUCAAGUUUAUCAUUCUUUGUUCUCUUAUCUUCCUCGGUGGUUUCAAUGCAAGCUUUCGGUGUUGAUCGUAUCCUUUCAUCGUUUCAAAUGUUUUCUCAUGCCGGUGCACCUCUUAAUCUUCCACCUCUUGCUAUUCAUGUUUAUCUGGAGUGCUGAAGGUAUCCCAGAGGAUUCAUGUUUCUAUUCUUAAUCCUUUCUAGCUAUUUCGAGAUCUUACCUUAUUCAAGCCAUUUAAUUGAACCGACGCAAUCUCUCUUUUAAAUCGUUCAACGGUGUAUAUGUUGAGUGGGACCUAACCCACAGGGCUUUUCCCAGGAUCUUACCUGACUCUUCUAAUUUUCCCGGAGCUAUUCACAAAUUCAUUUCAAAGUUUGACGUAAGAAUGAGUUAUCAUCAGUCAGAUGUCUUUUUCUAAGAUCUUCCAAAUUCUUUUCAUUGUUGGUUCAACCUUUCUUAUUUUCAUCCCGGAGUAUCUCAACAAUUCAUGGUGGUGUUUCUCGUCAUCAUUCUCAACAUUUGAAGACCGAAGAAGAGUUCCUCUUCAAUCUAAUCCGUUCUCUCAAAGAUGCGUGGUUCUAACUUGUUGCCGUCCUCUCAUAAUUGUUUUGAGUGUGAGAAUUCUUUUCACCCAUCCGGAGCAAUUCAGGAGUCUUUUCAGUUUGAUUCUUUGGAACUCAUCAUCUCAGAAUUAUUCAUUCUCAGCUUUCAGCUCUCGUUCUCGAAUUCUUCCAGUGCAUCAUUCAAGUAUUAUCUAGUCAGCUCGGGAUCUCUGCGUUCACUUGUAUCUAAAUUCUUUCAAGUAUCUUCGUUCAUUGUCAAAUUCUUCCCGAUGUUUCUUUAUCUUUUCUUCGUUCAUUUUCAAUUCUUACGGUGGUUCGUUCAAGAUUUCUAUUCCUUCGUGAUCAUAUCAAUUCAUUCGUUGUUUCCAAAUCCUACCGGUGGUCCCAUCAAGACCUUCCCAAGUUUGCGCCAUAUCUAUCUUAAUCCUUUCUACGAGAAUAAGUAGUAUGACAAAUCCAUUGCUUGUCAUCAAUUAAUUGGUGAAGGAUGAGCAUAAUGUAAUUCUUAUUCUUGUUUCAUCGAGUAAAUUCAAUUCCUUAUUCCGGAGGUUCAUCAAAAUUCUUGAUUUCAUUUGUUCAUCUUUCUUUCCGGAGUUCCAAGUUUUCUCGGUUAUAUCAUUUCAAAGCUUCAUCUUAUCACUGCAAGGCUUCACCUGGUGUUUUCAACUUCUCUUUCUUUCUAUCAUCCUUUUAUUACCGGAGUUCUUCAUGGAGUUUUUUUUCAUGGUGGUUCAUCAAGGAUUUAAUUCAUUCUCGAAGUGUUCUCAAGAUUCUUGUUGGAAGAGCUCAAAUAUUUUUCUUCCUGCAUUCCAAAGUGCAAUUCUUUCUCUCUUAUCUUUUGAGGUGGUGUUAUGUCAUUCUUGAUAAUUUUAUUCAUGUUUCAUGAUUCAUAAGUUAUCAAGAAUGAGAUAUUUAAACCCAUCGUUUCUUCAUUGGAGUUAUCUUGGGUUGUAUUUCACCUAAAGCCUUACCUAAGGAAUGUUGCUAUUGUGGUGCUCAUCAAUGAUCCAAGUUUUCUCCUAUCCUCUCGGCGAGAGAAGUUUUCAUCUCUUCGUUGAUCUCAAGCAAGCAAUUGUUUUCGUUAGUGGCACAAUUUCACCUCAAGUUUUGAGAUAUCUCUAUAAGCCCACGAAGAUCAUAUCCUUUCUUUGUUGAUUUUUCAACAACUCCGUUCUUCUCCGUUCUUUUCAUUGCAUUCUUUCAUUUCUACCGGAGGCAUUGUGAUAUCGCUCUCUUCGACCCAUCUUCUCGUUUUGUCAAGAUCAUCUUCAUUCCUUGCUUAUCCUUUUAACCGGAGUGUGGUGUCAUCUCUUCAAUUUCUUUUCAUCUUAUCAAGUUUCCUUCUCUUUUUCAACCGGAGUGCUGUCAAAAUUAUGUCAUUCUUGUUCCUUGGCUAUCUCAUUAUAUCGGUGUGGUUUCAUAUUCUUUUGGUUCGUUAAGCCCUUGUUUCAUGUCUUUCAACCCACAAGGUUCUCAUAAUGUUCCUUGUUCUCCUUUUCUAACGGAGUGUUUGUAAUCUCGUUCAUCUCCGUUGUAUUCUUUUCUAAAAAUUGUUUAACCUCUCAAGGUUCUUUGGUUUCAAUCGUUUGUCAAAGAAGCAACUUUGUUUUACCUUUUCCUCUUCCGUUUCCUCCGGUGCCAUCCUAGAUCUCGGGACGAGAUCCUCUCGUAGUGGUGGAGUGUUGUAACACCCCGGAUGUAACUUUCCAUAUUUGUAACUCCAACUCUUGCCAUUUUCGGCUAUGUGUUAUGAUAUUCCCUCCGUGGUUGGGUUUUGUCUUUCGUUUUGCAUUUUGUUCAUGUCAUGCAUCUCAUAUCAUAUCAUCAUGUGCAUCUCAUUUGCAUACGUGUUCGUCUCAUGCAUCCGAGCAUUUUCCCCGUUGUCCGUUUUGCAAUCCGGCUAACCCACAUGCACCGGCCCCCCCUCUUGUUUCUUUUCGUGAGCGGGUGUUGAAUGUUCUCGGAAUGGACCGAGGUUUUCCAAGUGGCCUUGGUAUACCACCGGUAGACUACCUGUCAAGUUUUGUUUCAUUUGGAGGUCGUUUGAUGCUCCAACGGUUAACCGGGUAACCGCAAAGUCCUUUUGUGUGUUGCAGCAAAAACCCCCUCCAAACAGACCAAAACCCAUCUAAGUCCCCUCCAUGCUCUCGGUCGUUCGAUCACGAUCAUGUGGGCGAAAACCGCACUCCAUUUGGAGUCUCCUAGCUCCCUCUACCUAUAAAAACACCCCCCUCCGAAAUUUCGGAUCAAACCCUAGAUCAAAUCGUCCUCCGCGCCGCCGGACGCGUCCACUCCGCGCNNNNNNNNNNNNNNNNNNNNNNNNNNNNNNNNNNNNNNNNNNNNNNNNNNNNNNNNNNNNNNNNNNNNNNNNNNNNNNNNNNNNNNNNNNNNNNNNNNNNNNNNNNNNNNNNNNNNNNNNNNNNNNNNNNNNNNNNNNNNNNNNNNNNNNNNNNNNNNNNNNNNNNNNNNNNNNNNNNNNNNNNNNNNNNNNNNNNNNNNNNNNNNNNNNNNNNNNNNNNNNNNNNNNNNNNNNNNNNNNNNNNNNNNNNNNNNNNNNNNNNNNNNNNNNNNNNNNNNNNNNNNNNNNNNNNNNNNNNNNNNNNNNNNNNNNNNNNNNNNNNNNNNNNNNNNNNNNNNNNNNNNNNNNNNNNNNNNNNNNNNNNNNNNNNNNNNNNNNNNNNNNNNNNNNNNNNNNNNNNNNNNNNNNNNNNNNNNNNNNNNNNNNNNNNNNNNNNNNNNNNNNNNNNNNNNNNNNNNNNNNNNNNNNNNNNNNNNNNNNNNNNNNNNNNNNNNNNNNNNNNNNNNNNNNNNNNNNNNNNNNNNNNNNNNNNNNNNNNNNNNNNNNNNNNNNNNNNNNNNNNNNNNNNNNNNNNNNNNNNNNNNNNNNNNNNNNNNNNNNNNNNNNNNNNNNNNNNNNNGUCACCGCGGCCCCGACGUCCGCCGCCGCCUCCACCGCGCGCCCGGCGUGCCCCCUCGCCGGAUCCCGCCGUUCCCCGCUCCGGUGUCCUCUCCGGCCGCGUCUCCCUCUCCCUCCUCCGGCCGCCGCGUCCCUCUUCUCUGGCGAGCUCGAGCCCGCGCCGAUCCAUAUCUCGAGCCCGAGAGUUGACUUCUUCCUCCCCUCAAUUUUCUCCAAGUCCCGUAAUUUUUGCAACAUGUAGCCCUGUUCAUUGCAUCAUAAAUCUCUGCAUAUAGCUCUGUUUCGUGCGUGUAAUAUAUUGAAAUGUUCGUCUUGAGAUGCUCUUCAUUUUGUUCCAUUAUGCCAUGCUCAUUUGUGUCCAUCUUGUUGCCCAAAUCUCUGGUGCAAGAGUGCUAUAUGCUGUUACCUGCUGUUACUUAUCAGAACUUGAGGAAUUGUUAUUUUUGUUGCUUUUGACGUGUGCAUCUUAUGGGCAUGAGCUCUAUAUAUGUUUUGAUGGAUGCCAUGCCAUCUUUACAGAGGUGUAUGCCAUGUAUUUUUGUGAUCUCUGUGGUCACUAGUACAAGCAUGCAAAUUAGGCUUCAUGAUGUUUCUGUUUUCAGGGACUUGGUAAUUUCACUGUCUGUUACUGCUGUUAUUUUGUUGCCAUGUAUCCAUGUGUCUACAGAGAGAUCCAUGCAUCUUUUGGGCAUGUUCAGUAAGGAUGUUUUGUAGAUAUGGUUGUGCUAUAUCCAUACAUGCCCCUGUUUGCAAUUAUGGAGUGCCCUAGCAUGACUCAAUCGUGCUAUACUUUUGCUAUAAAAUAUUCCUGGCAGAUUGCUAACAUGAUAUUCAAUUUUGCCAAGCUUAUUGUAGUUGAUCCAUACAUGCUAUGUAUUUGCUCUUGCCAUGGAUAGCUUCCUAAACAUGCCAUCUUUUCGUAGGUAUGCUUGUUUUUUCAUGCAUUGCUUUGCGGUGAGUGAAUCAAACUCACAAAGAUGCCUCCAUAAUACAGUUUCUGCCAUGCUCUGUUUUCUGCUAAGUCUGAAACCUGUUAACGAAAAUUGCUAUGUUUACAUGGGUGCCAUCAUAUCUUCUAAUCCUUUUAGGCUCAUGGUCAGUAAGGGACUUUUGUUCUAUGCAUUCAAUAGAUUCAUGCCAUUCCUCGCUUUACUAUGUUAAGUUCCCGCAUCAUGUUGUUUGCUUGCUCUGAACAUUGCUACCUGAUGCUGUUUAUGCCAUGUCCAGUAAUUUCACCAAGUCUGUGAUUCUGAUAUCUUUUGCACUUUUGUCAUGCUUGUUUGAACCUGUUAUGUUGUGAUCUAGCCGUAGCUCAGUGUUCAUCUUUUGUCAAGCAUCUCCAGUAGAUUACUGCCAUAUGUUUUAUUGCUAUGUUGGGGUGCUGUAGCAUAGUUACUUGUUGCAUUCUAAGUGCUAUCAUGCUAUUAAUCGCAGAAUCGUGUCAUUCUUGUUUUGCUUGCCAUUUGCAAACCGUGCAUCCGUUUCCGGUGAUCUUUAUAUCGAUUUCGACCGAAAUCAUCUCAUCUUUCUAGUGGCAUACUUGGUUUGCCAAGUUACUGCCUUGUUCAUCCUUUUUCUUCCGGAGCACGCAUAUGCAUCGCAUAUCAUAUCUCGCAUAUCAUGCAUGUUUUGCAUCAUGUUGCUUGUGCAUUUCCCGUGAUUGAUUGUGGUUUCUUUGCUUGUAUUCUUGCUGUGGGUAGAGCCGGGAGACGAGUUCGUGAACGAGGAACCUGUUGAGUACGCUUACGAGGAUCAAGUUUUUGACAACUCUGAGAACCUUGCAGGCAAGAUGACCAUACCCUCGAAAUCACUUCUAUCUUUGCUUUGCUAGUUGUUCGUUCUAUUGCCAUGCUGCGCUACCUACCACUUGCUAUAUCAUGCCUCCCAUGUUUCCAUGUCAAGCCUCUAACCAUCCUUUCCUAGCAAACCGUUGUUUGGCUAAGUUACCGCUUUUGCUCAGCCCUUCUUAUAGCGUUGCUAGUUACAGGUGAAGUUGAAGUUGGUUCCAUGUUGGAACAUGGAUAUUUUGGAAUAUCACAAUAUCUCUUAUUAUAUUAAUGCAUCUAUAUAUUUGGUAAAGGGUGGAAGGCUCGGCCUUAUGCCUGGUGUUUUGUUCCACUCUUGCCGCCCUAGUUUCCGUCAUACCGGUAUUAUGUUCCUUGAGUUUGCGUUCAUUACGCGGUUGGGUGAUUUAUGGGACCCCCUUGAUAGUUCGCCUUGAAUAAAACUCCUCCAUCAAGGCCCAACCUUGGUUUUACCAUUUGCCACCUAAGCCUUUUCCCUUGGGUUUUCGCGAGCCCGAGGGUCAUCUUUAUUUUUUAAACCCCCCCAGGCCAGUGCUCCUUCAAGUGUUGGUCCGAACCGAGUAGACUGCGGGGCCACCUCGGGGAAACUUGAGGCCUGGUUUUACUCGUAGGAUGUCUCAUCCGUUGUGCCCUGAGAACGAGAUAUGUGCAGCUCCUAUCGGGAUUUAUCGGCACAUCGGGCGGCUUUGCUGGUCUUGUUUUACCAUUGUCGAAAUGUCUUGUAAACCGGGAUUCCGAGACUGAUCGGGUCUUCCCGGGAGAAGGUUUAUCCUUCGUUGACCAUGAGAGCUUAUAAUGGGCUAAGUUGGGACACCCCUGCAGGGUAUUAUCUUCCGAAAGCCGUGCCCGCGGUUAUGGGGCAGAUGGGAAUUUGUUAAUGUCCGGUUGUAGAGAACUUGACACUUGACUUAAUUAAAAUCUAUCAACCGUGUGUGUAGCCGUGAUGGUCUCUUCUCGGCGGAGUCCGGGAAGUGAACACGGUUUGAGUUAUGCAUGAACGUAAGUAGUUUCAGGAUCACUUCUUGAUCAUUUCUAGCUUCGCGACCGUUGCGUUGCUUCUCUUCUCGCUCUCAUUUGCGUAUAUUAGCCACCAUAUAUGCUUAGUGCCUGCUGCAACUCCACCUCAUUACACCAUUCUUUCCUAUAAGCUUAAAUAGUCUUGAUCUCGCGGGUGUGAGAUUGCUGAGUUCUCGUGACUCACAGAUUCUACCAAAACAAUUGCAGGUGCCGACGAUGCCAGUGCAGAUGACGCAACCGAGCUCAAGUGGGAGUUCGACGAGGAACGUGGUCGUUACUAUGUUUCUUUUCCUGAUGAUCGGUAGUGGAGCCCAGUGGGGUUGAUCGGGGAUCUAGCAUUUGGGGUUAUCUUAUUUUCAUUUGGAUUUGACCGUAGUUGGUAUAUGUGUGGAUUUUGAAUGAUGUAUGAAUUAUAUUUAUGUAUUGUGUGAAGUGGCGAUUGUAAGCCAACUCUCGUUAUCCCAUUCUUAUUCAUUACAUGGGAUUGUGUGAAGAUAACCCUUCUUGCGACAAUACCACAAUGCGGUUAUGCCUCUAAGUCGUGCCUCGACACGUGGGAGAUAUAGCCGCAUCGUGGGCGUUACAGCUAUACAAGAAGCGGCUCACACGUUUGCCACUCAAAGAAUGCCAAGACCCUAUAUACAUCACCUGCAAUUAUAUAUAGCAUUCUUCUUAGUGUUGUUACCUUUCAUUUUCAAUAUUUCUUUUCUCAGUGUUAUUACCUUUCAUUUCCAAUAUUUCUUUUCUCACUGUUGUUACCUUUUAUUUGCAGUAUUCCUCGGUCAGUUUUACUAAGAAAUAUCUCCGCCGCUGUAUUGACCCAAAGCUUUAUGACUUGCCAAUAAAAUCUAGAGAUGGAAAUCCCUGCAUCAAAGCCCGUCUAAUCAAAGGAGUCAACAACAGGGCAAAAAUUACUAGAGGCUGGGCAGGCUUCUUCCCCGCAGCUAAUAUGAAGGAAAGAGAAAUAUAUGCCUUCGCCUUCAAGCGCAACUACAAGCGCUUGGGUCUCAUCAUGCAUGCCCUCUGAGCAUCGUGUUCAGUCUACUAAACUACGUAAUUAGCCUAUGAAGUUCUAUGUGUAUAGCUUCACCCUAAAAAUCUGUUUGCUUUUGGCACUGGACUCUUUGGUCAUCAUGUUCAGUCUACUAAACUACCUAAAUAGCCUAUGAAGUUCACCUUUGACCAAAAGAAUCCAUUUACAUUGCCCUAUAUAUAAUCGUUAAUCAAUAUCCUAGAAGAUCUAGAAGGGAAACUAAUACUUUCUACAAUCCAAGUUUAACACUAUUAUUGUACCCGCCAUCAUAUCAACAAUUGCUUACUUCCUCUUCUAAACAUUCUGUUUUUUUCGUCUGCAAAUCAAUUUAAGUCAUCUUACUAUUUGUAAUACAAUCCUCAUUGCAUUAUCUUUUCAUCUACAUCUCCUACUUACUCACAACUAACAUCACUUCUAACUCGCUUCUUGCGCCAUGGGCGCAACCGGGUCAUCUAGUGGUUUGAAAAGGAGACACCAGAGGACAACACAAGUAGCAUCACUCCAUCAUCACACUGCACAGCUGAAACUAACAACUACAGACAACUUGUGGACAAGACACCACAAAAAUUACGAAUACUUUUGAAAUAAGUCUCAUGCUUAUAAAACUGAUGUGAGAGGAUCCACAACAGGCAUCAUACUGAUGAGGAUCAAAGUCAAACACAUCAACAGCCAUAGGCCAUGAGACCGUUGGAAUCCAUUACAUAAUUUCUUGCCGCCUAUCAAAGACUAGCGUUGGCACUUGCCAUUCUGCUCCUACUACCUAAAGCACACUAGAUAGAACUUCCUUCGUCUUUCGUCGCUUAAAUGGUUACCAAGCAAAGAAGGAUACCCAAAAUGAAACAAGCCCCAACGAGAAGAGGGCCAAAGCAGAUAGACCUUAACCUAAUUCGGCUUCUGGGCUGUCCUGUGGGCAUCUGAUCAACUCCAAUAUGUUCACCACCUCACUCAUGUCUGGCCUAUUGGAGGGAACCUGAGAAGUACAAACUAAGCCAAGUUUCAUGAUCGGAACAGCCUCUUCCAGUGGGAAUUUUCCGCAGAGCUUCCCAUCAACACACUCUUCCACUUUGCCUUCAUCCAAAGCAGCCCUCACCACAUCACACAGUACAAUAACAUCAUCUUCCAUGUACUCCACUGGUGCCCUCCCUGUCAUGACCUCCAGCACAAGAACUCCAAAUCCAUACACAUCACAUUUCUCGGUUAUCUUCACAGUCCUGCAUGUAAAUUCUGGUGCCAUGUAACCAAGUGCACUCUGUACCUUGCUGCUUAGAACAUACCGAUCCAACAUCGGCAGUAGCUUCGCCAAUCCAUAGUCCCCCACCUUGGCCUCGCCCGAACCAUCAAGCAUAAUGUUGCUUGACUUCAGGUUGUAGUGGAUAAUGUCAUGCCUGUGGAGGUGAGCCAGGCUUCUUGCCAUACCAAGAACUAUGUCAAAUCUUUCCUUCCAUGAAAGGUAAUUUGCAUUGGAAGAUUCAUGAAGUUGUUUAUGCAAGUUACCCCCAGACACAAACUCGUAGAUAAGAAGCUGAAGUGAUGGCGUCCAGUAAUAGCCCAUGAGUGCAACAAGGUUACGGUGGCGUAACUUGCCCAGCAUCUUCACUUCCCUCUCAAAUUCAUCUUGAGAUUUGACCAAGCUUGACACUGUCAGUUUCUUGAUGGCAACAGGUUGGCCAUCUCGGAGAGUGGUCUUGUAAACAGUGCCAAAACCACCACGGCCGAGCUCACAGUCCUUGUUCAGAAGAGCAUGGGUACUGGCACUGAAUUCUGGAUUGCCUCCUCCAAACAUGACAAGCUUGCCUGCAUUCACGUCAGUUGUUGGAGACUGACUGAGAUAUCCAUCUGAGAGUUCCAGCGCAGCAGCAGCAGCAGCAGAAUGAGAGCCUGGGGCGCGAACUUGAAGGUUAAGAACUGUAAUAGUUAUGAUACCAACAGCAAUGAGAACAGCAGCACCAAUUGCAACAAGGGCUGAGAUGCUCAGUAUGGUUUUCUUGUGAUGGAGCCCCCCAGGCACAGGCUCUUUCUGUGCUAGCGGAUUGGACGAAGAGUCUGGAUUCAGUACAAUUGGUUUUGGUAGUACGCCAGGACAAGAUGAGUUGAGCUUUGCACCGCAAAGGCCAGGAUUGUCGGACACAGAUGAGAGGGAGAUAGUGUCAAAAAAGCUACCAGGAGGGAGAUCCCCGGAGAGCUGGUUAUGUGAAAUGUUGAAGCGAACGAGGUGGGCAAGGUUGGAGAGCUGUUUUGGCAGACCACCCGUGAGCUUGUUCCGAGAAAGAUCAGCAGUCUGAAGGUUGGUGAGAUUGGCCAUUGUUGCUGGAAUGGCUCCGGUUAAACCAUUGUGUGAUAGAUCCCUGCACAUAGUAACCAAGCAUACAAAUACAAUUAAAGGCAGAAAUGCAUGAACAACUCCAAAUAUCAGCCUAGCGAAUCGAGUCGAAUAAGAAAGAGGUGCGCUUAAACUUACAGUGACGUGAGGGCAGAGCAAUCCCCAAUCUGGGGUGGGAUUUCUCCAGUGAGGGAGUUCUUGGCAAGGCUCAGCACUUUGAACGACUUCCCUCCAAUGGUAGAUGGAAUGCUCCCAUUGAGCCUAUUGGCACUCAAAUCAAGCAGCUCCAGUGACUUCAUCUCCACAAUGCUGGCUGGAACACUCCCAGACAGCGAGUUCCAAGACAUGUUCAGCGACUGCAAGGUGAGCAGUUGCGAGAGUUCGGACGGGAUCCGUCCUGAAAACGAAUUGCUUGACAGGUCCACGCCUUGAAUCACAGAGGAUGCAUUCACAGGCACCAUCACCACACCACUGAAUGUGUUGUAGGACACCGACACCCAUUGCACACCGGAAGCAAAUACCCAGGUAGGCAGGCUGCCAGUGAGGGAAUUCCAGCUCACGUCAACGUGCACUAGGCUUCUACAUCCACCGAUUGACUCAGGCAAGCCACCGGUGAACCCAUUUCCGGACAGCCUCAGCUCCCUCAGUGACAUGAGCCCACCAAUUGACCCCGGAAUCUCCCCGGAGAAUUUGUUCCCCGACAAAUCUAGCGUCUCCAGGCUCACCAUUUCUCCAACCCAAGUUGGAACAUUUCCGGUGAGCUCAUUUGAGCUCAAGUCAAGGUCUGUGCAAGUGGAGAGCCUCCGCAGGGACUCUGGCAAGUUGCCGGAGAGCGAGUUAGAGCUCAGGUCCACUGACCGCAGCAGCGGACAGUCCCCAAUGUCAUCCGGGAGGCUGCCUGUGAGGCGGUUCCUCCGCAGGUUCAGCGCCCGCAGGUUGAACAUCUUGCUGAUGCCCACAGGCAACUCGCCGGUGAUGGUAUUGCCAGAGAGGUCCAGAGUUCGCAGCGCAUUCAGGGACCAGAUGCCGCUGGGCAGCAUGCUGGCCAGGCGGUUGGAAGACAGGUUCAGAGACGCGAGCGUGCCGCACGCGCCCACAUCCGGGGUGUCACCGGUGAAGGCGUUGUUGGCCAGGGAGACGUCGCGGAGGGCGUGGCACUUGCCGAAGAAUCCAUCCGGGAUGGCGCCCGAGAAGGCGUUGGAGCUGAGGUCGAGCGACUGGAGGUCCGGGAGGCGGGCGAGGUCGGGUGGGAUGUCGCCGGAGAAGUUGUUGGCGGAGAGGGAGAGCGACUGGAGCGACUCGAGGCGCAGGAGACCGCGUCCGAGCUUGCCGGAGAGGCCGAAGCCGGCGAGGUUGAGCCCCGAGACGCGGCCGGUGCGCGGGUCGCAGGUGAUGCCGGCCCAGGCGCAGGCCCGCUCGUCGUCCUCGCUCCACGUCGCGAGGCGCCCCUCCGGGUCCACCACGUCGGCCUUGAACACAAUCAGCCCCAGGACGUCGUCGUUCAGCGCCGCCGCCAGGCCCGCGCGGCCGCCGCCCUUGGCCUCCGCCAGGAAGACGAGGUGGACGAGGAGCAGCAGCACGAGGGACCGCAUUGCUGCGAGUUGGAUCCCAGAUGGCAAGGCCCGGACAGCACGGCAGCAAGAAGUGAGGGCCUUUGUGGGCUCGGAAGAAGGAGGAGACGCCCCCAAAAUGCCGCAAGAAGGCGAUUCCGGAGAAGCGGAUGAGCUAGGAGAGAUGGGAUUCAGUCAAAUCUGCAGCAGAGGACCUCCAGGCUUGGGACGCCGCCCUCCCCUCCCCUCCCCUCCCCUACAAAUUCAAACAGGAGAAGAAACCAAGUGUAAGUAAUUGAGCUGCGGAAAUUCGGACUCUAGGGAGUAGCCGAGGUGGGUAAGGACGUACCGGCACGGGAACCUCCGCCGUCUACUUGUAGGGCGCAGCCGCCUCACCGGAGAACGCCAUUGUUGCAGGUCGGAGAGGAGCCAAGGGUUGGGGGGAGCGGCGUGGAGUGUCGAGUGAACCGUGGUGGUAUAUGUUCGUGACAAAAGGAAAAAAGGCGAGGGGGAAAAAGCUGCUGCAACGCAGGAGUGAUCGGACGGCCAUGCGCUGCUGUAGCACGCCAUCGAGGGUUCGGAUGGGCCGGGCGCGCGGGCCAAAAGUUUGUGCGCUGCGUCGGGCGGGGGCGCUUGGGCCGUGAGUACGGACCGAGAGCGGCUUCCCGAGCCCGACCAAGAAAAAAAAAA
This 32959-nucleotide long non-coding RNA is filed under the name Triticum aestivum (bread wheat). RNAcentral's name for it is "long non-coding RNA (TAES_LNC004527)". Lineage: Eukaryota; Viridiplantae; Streptophyta; Magnoliopsida; Poales; Poaceae. The record is from RNAcentral.